Molecule: ribosomal RNA, 424 nt
Filed under: uncultured bacterium
Lineage: Bacteria
Description: bacterial SSU rRNA
Rfam family: Bacterial small subunit ribosomal RNA
Source: RNAcentral
GAAUAUUGGACAAUGGGGGGAACCCUGAUCCAGCCAUGCCGCGUGUGUGAAGAAGGCCUUUUGGUUGUAAAACACUUUCAGCGAGGAGGAGGCUACUUAGAUUAAUACUCUAGGAUAGUGGACGUUACUCGCAGAAUAAGCACCGGCUAACUCUGUGCCUGCCGCCGCGGUAAUACAGAGGGUGCAAUCGUUAAUCGGAUUUACUGGGCGUAAAGCGCGCGUAGGUGGCCAAUUAAGUCAAAUGUGAAAUCCCCGAGCUUAACUUGGGAAUUGCAUUCGAUACUGGUUGGCUAUAGUAUGUGAGAGGAUGGUAGAAUUCCAGGUGUAGCGGCGAAAUGCGUAGAGAUCUGGAGGAAUACCGAUGGCGAAGGCAGCCAUCUGGCCUAAUACUGACACUGAGGUGCGAAAGCAUGGGGAGCAAACA